CAAUAGCGUAUAUUAAAGUUGUUGCGGUUAAAAAGCUCGUAGUUGGAUUUCUGUUGAGGAUGACCGGUCCGCCCUCUGGGUGUGAAUCUGGCUCAGCCUUGACAUCUUCCUGAAGAACGUAUCUGCACUUGACUGUGUGGUGCGGUAUUUGGGACAUUUACCUUGAGGAAAUUAGAGUGUUUAAAGCAGGCAAUUGGCUUGAAUACAUUAGCAUGGAAUAAUAAGAUAGGACUUUGGUGCUAUUUUGUUGGUUUGCACAUCAAGGUAAUGAUUAACAGAAUCAGUCGGGGAUAUUCGUAUGCAAAUGUCAGAGGUGAAAUUCUUGGAUUUUUUACAGACGAACAACUGCGAAAGCAUUUAUCAAGGAUGUUUUCAUUAA
RNAcentral lists this ribosomal RNA (379 nucleotides) under uncultured eukaryote. Its description in RNAcentral is "partial 18S ribosomal RNA". It matches the Rfam family "Eukaryotic small subunit ribosomal RNA", at positions 592 to 976 of the family's 1831-position model. The record is from RNAcentral.